This 558-nucleotide ribosomal RNA is filed under the name Hyphomicrobium sp. JMT1961. RNAcentral's name for it is "bacterial SSU rRNA". It matches the Rfam family "Bacterial small subunit ribosomal RNA", at positions 107 to 702 of the family's 1533-position model. The record is from RNAcentral. Lineage: Bacteria; Pseudomonadati; Pseudomonadota; Alphaproteobacteria; Hyphomicrobiales; Hyphomicrobiaceae.
UGAGUAACACGUGGGAACCUUCCCUAUAGUACGGAAUAGCCCAGGGAAACUUGGAGUAAUACCGUAUACGCCCGAAAGGGGAAAGAAUUUCGCUAUAGGAUGGGCCCGCGUAGGAUUAGCUAGUUGGUGAGGUAAUGGCUCACCAAGGCGACGAUCCUUAGCUGGUUUGAGAGAACGACCAGCCACACUGGGACUGAGACACGGCCCAGACUCCUACGGGAGGCAGCAGUGGGGAAUAUUUGGCAAUGGGCGCAAGCCUGAUCCAGCCAUGCCGCGUGAGUGAUGAAGGCCUUAGGGUUGUAAAGCUCUUUUGCCGGGGACGAUANUGACGGUACCCGGAGAAUAAGUCCCGGCUAACUUCGUGCCAGCAGCCGCGGUAAUACGAAGGGGACUAGCGUUGUUCGGAAUCACUGGGCGUAAAGCGCACGUAGGCGGAUUCGUAAGUCAGGGGUUAAAUCCCGGGGCUUAACCUCGGAACUGCCUUUGAUCUGCGGGUCUUGAGUCCGAUAGAGGUGGGUGGAAUUCCUAGUGUAGAGGUGAAAUUCGUAGAUUUUAGGA